CAGCAGCCGCCACGGUAAUACGGAGGAUCCAAGCGUUAUCCGGAAUCAUUGGGUUUAAAGGGUCCGUAGGCGGUCUUGUAAGUCAGUGGUGAAAGCCCAUCGCUCAACGGUGGAACGGCCAUUGAUACUGCAGGACUUGAAUUAUUGGGAAGUAACUAGAAUAUGUAGUGUAGCGGUGAAAUGCUUAGAGAUUACAUGGAAUACCAAUUGCGAAGGCAGGUUACUACCAAUUGAUUGACGCUGAUGGACGAAAGCGUGGGUAGCGAACAGGAUUAGAUACCCCUGUAGUCCCUGUCUCUUAUAC
This 304-nucleotide ribosomal RNA is filed under the name uncultured bacterium. Its description in RNAcentral is "partial 16S ribosomal RNA". It matches the Rfam family "Bacterial small subunit ribosomal RNA", at positions 509 to 807 of the family's 1533-position model. The record is from RNAcentral.